UUUGCAUAAUGGUUAAAUUAUAAUAAUAAGAAAUCUUUUUUCCCGAAAUAAGAAGAUCUAAAUUUUGAAUUUUAUUAGAAUUUUGAUUAUAUUAAUGUAGCAAAUAUUAAUAAUUUAUCUUAAUUUAGGGGUGAAAGGCUUUCAAUUCUUAUGAUAUCUGGAUUUUAAUAAAAUGCAUUUAGUGCAGAUUUAGAAUUGAAAUUAAAAAUGUUAAGAUUUUUAAUAUAGAAUAAAUUUAUUAAAUAUUUAUUUUAAGAUUAAUCUCUUGAUAAUAAUUAUAUAUUAAAAUUAAAAUUUGAGGAUUUUUCUAAUAGUUGAUUAUUAAAAAUUUGCUUGAUUUUGGAGUAAAUUUUAUAUUGUUUAAAUUAGUAUUAUUAAUAAUUUUUUAUAAGGAACUUGGCAAAUUAAUUGUUCGACUGUUUAACAAAAACAUAGCUUAUUGGCUUUAAUAAUAAGUGAGUCCUGCCCAGUGAGAUAUUUAACGGCCGCAGUACCUUGACUGUGCUAAGGUAGCAUAAUAAAUUGGCUUUUAAUUGAAGUCUUGAAUAAAUGGGUUUAUCGGAUGAUUGCUGUCUUAUUAAAAUUUUAAAGAAAUUACUGAAAAGGUGAAAAUUCCUUUAGUUAUUAAUAUUAGACAAGAAGACCCUUAGAGUUUUUAUUAUAAGAAUUUCUCUUCUUUCUUUUUUGUUGGGGCGACAAAGUAGCAUUAAACCUACUUUAAUUUAUCUGCCGAAAAUUUUAUGUAAAAAUAAACUACCUAAGGGAUAACAGCAUAAUUAUUAUUUUGAUUGUGACCUCGAUGUUGGAUUAGGAAAUUUAAUAGCUAGACGUUAUUAUAUCUUGUUCUGUUCGAACAAUUGCUCUUACAUGAUCUGAGUUCAGACCGGCGUAAGCCAGGUCAGAUUCUAUCUUUUAAAGUUUUUAAUUAGUACGAAGG
This 937-nucleotide ribosomal RNA is filed under the name Schizoglossa novoseelandica. RNAcentral's name for it is "partial 16S ribosomal RNA". The stretch from base 375 to 619 matches the Rfam family "Archaeal large subunit ribosomal RNA", at positions 1786 to 2143 of the family's 2987-position model. The record is from RNAcentral. Lineage: Eukaryota; Metazoa; Mollusca; Gastropoda; Stylommatophora; Rhytididae.